UGUACAUAAACAUAUGCAUAAAAGUUUUGUUUUUAUCCUUCUGAUUAUGAGUAAACGUAGGUAGAUUCACUUUUAUAAUACCUGUCUAGUAAACAAAGAGCAGCUUUAUGUAAAUUCAAGUGAACAGUUCAAUCUCGUUUGCAGCUAUACAAGAAAGUAUUUUGAAGACAAUUUCUUCCAUCCUUAUGAAUCUUCUCAGUCAUUCUGAAUUCUCAGGUUUUCUUUGAUAAUGCUGGAGCCAAUCAACUCAAGUAGUCUUCCUAUGGUUAUAUACCAUUAACUGGAAACAGAAUCUAGUCUGUUUUAUGAACAUCACUGUUGCUUGUUUCAAAACUGCAGGGAUGAGCAAACCCUACGUCAGGCAACCCCUUGGAUUUCUAUCCAGGAACUGCCAGGCCUGCAAAAAUAAUCAUCGUUAUUUUUGUGUUAUUUUGUUAUAUAUACCCAACUGCAAGCAGAGUUACAACUAAUAUCAAAGUUAAGCAGAGAGUCCUUCCUCAAAAGCACCAGGCCAGUCUUUGAAGGGAUUCUCAGUAUGGAAAUAAUAACCCUGGAAAAGAGAGAGAAUGGACCCAAGAUGAAGCACUGUAGCAAGGAAUGGCAACUCUAUAGAAUUAAAUGACUCACUAUUUUCCAACUGGAGGUUCUGUUUUGGCAUCACAUUGGAGAGCCAAGUCUGCUAUGGAUUUCACUGGAAGGACAAAUCCUUUUUACAGUCAGCAGCUCUCUCUUCUGUGCCUUACUGUCAGUUCUGUCAGUUGAUCCCAUUGGAAGUACAUAACAAGUUUCUCCCUGUUCUUUUAUUAAAAACAUUUUUUUUUCUUUUUUUUGCACAAAAGGCACAGUACAAAAACCAAACAGUAUUCAAUGGUGUCAUAGAAAAGCACAAAGUGGCCUAAUCUUGCUAAACAGAGCUCUGACUGCUAAUCCCUUCCCAUGUUUGUCAGAGGUUAAACUCAUUAGCCAUUUGCCUGACCAUGGUCCCAAUUGCAUUAAUUUACGUGAUUAUAUUUCUGAUGACUGUACUUGUAAUACUCAAUUUCAAUGAGCCACAUUGCUAAAAGACUAAUUUUGCUCACUUUAGACUCAUUGGACUGUACCUGCAAGUGUUGGAAUGUGCACUGCUGGGAUGAAACAUCCAAUACAUUCCUGAGUUUCAUAUAAGUAAUACGCAAUGCUUGGUCAAACACGUAUGUCUGUGUGUGUACACACAUGUUGUUUUGCCUAGAACGAUGACGUUCGUUUGUCAAUCUAGCCCUAAGGUUUCUGUUUUGUUCCUGAGUCUUUGGUCUCUCAGGUAGAGUUUGAUGAGUGAAAUGUAUAUUAGGUUGAUGAUACAUGGUUAGAAAAGAAUGAUACAGCAAAAUUUCUGUGAGAAGCACGUGGUGGUGAGGGGCACUGUGUGUGUUCUGUGUUGGCUUCUGGACUUUGCUGCAAGUGACAGGAAGCACAGAGUGUGAGGGAAGGUCUACACUGAGGAUCUACCGUUUCUGCUUUCACAUCUACUACCUCUGGUCCAUGUUGUUUGGAAAAUACUGUUUUUCUUUGGUGAGGCCAGGAAGAGAUUUCAGAUUGUCACUGAAAACAUACCAAACCCCAAUCCUGUACACAAAAUGGUUGUUUUAUUGAUUAAUAGAAUUUAGGGCAGAAGAGGUAACUGGUUCAAGUCAUCCAUUUGUCUAUAUAUCACAUGACGGUAUUUGUCACUCAACAUCUGCAGGAUGAAACUGACGUUCCACAGAGAAGAAAUUGAGGUUGUCUGGAAUACAUGUCUUUGAGGAAGGUGCUUGGAUUUAAUUUAAAGUUGUCAGGAGACCUUAAUCUUAUCACAUUGUUUGCAAAUUUAUUUAAUUGCCCUCCUUGUUUCUCUUGUUAAUUUCAGUUUCCAACUAUCCCUUCUUAUUCUUCUUUUUCCAGUAGUUUAAAGCACUUUUUAGUACCCCUUAUUUUCUCUGUGGAAAGAUACUGAUGACUUUAAACAGGUUUUAAUUGUUUUUUAAAUGAUAUAAAGAGAUGGAGAUCUUAAAUUAUCUCAUUAUGAGGCAUUCAGAUUUCAACCUUUUUUGUGUCUCUUUUACUCUCCCUCUUUAUUUUUUUAUAGCUUUAUUUUUUUAUAACCGUACAGACAACCAAAGUGAAUCUUAUAUUCCAGUACCUGUCUUGCCUUUUCUCUGUACAGAAAUCAGGUGAUCUCCUAUCUCCUGCUAAUUAUGCCUGCCUCUACAUGCUCUUCUUGCCACAGUACUGCACAGGGAGCACUCAUGUUGACAUCCUUUUACACUCUGAGCCAUAGAUUCUUUUCAAAUUGCCUUCCAGCACAGUGUUGUAAGUAGAGCCUGCAUUCUUGUUCUGAAAUGUAUGAUUUUUCAAGUGACUGUAUUGGAAUAUGUAUUUAUACAGAUGUCUUGGUCACCAGCUCAUUUUUAUGACUCCCUUAUUUACAUUAUUUUAAUUCCACUGUUGUAUCAUAUGCAAAUUUUGUCAGGAAUGGCUUGCAUAUUUAUUUUCAGAUCAAUGAUAUUGACAAUCAUGGUUUCUCUUUGGAAUCACAGAAGAACACCCAUGUGAUUACAAUUCCUAGCAAAUAACUACUGUUCUUGAGAUCGUAGGUUAGCCAGUUUUAAUCUGUUUAAUAGCUGCUUUAUUCAUAUUGUAUGGUGCUAAUUUUAAAAUCAGAAUAUGGUAUGUUAAUUCAAACAUCUUGCAGAAUAUCAGACAGCAACAUUUAUCAACCUGACCUGUAAUCUGAUCAAAGAAUUAAAUUUGGUUUUC
Harpia harpyja (harpy eagle) is the source of this 2772-nucleotide long non-coding RNA. RefSeq lists it as uncharacterized. The record is from RefSeq and is a predicted model, not a curated record. Lineage: Eukaryota; Metazoa; Chordata; Aves; Accipitriformes; Accipitridae. The transcript has 4 exons.